This 2811-nucleotide ribosomal RNA is filed under the name Sediminibacterium goheungense. Its description in RNAcentral is "23S ribosomal RNA". It matches the Rfam family "Bacterial large subunit ribosomal RNA". Lineage: Bacteria; Pseudomonadati; Bacteroidota; Chitinophagia; Chitinophagales; Chitinophagaceae. The record is from RNAcentral.
UUUUUAAAGCGAAUAAGGGCGCAUGGUGGAUGCCUAGGGUCUGAGAGGCGAUGAAGGACGUGGUAAGCUGCGAUAAGCUACGGGGAGCUGCACACGAGCGUUAUAUCCGUAGAUUUCCGAAUGGGACAACCUGAUAUGCUGAAGGCAUAUCACCCGCCGCAAGGCGGGAGCCAACCCCGAGAACUGAAACAUCUAAGUACCGGGAGGAAAAGAAAACAACAGUGAUUCCCCAAGUAGUGGCGAGCGAAAAGGGAAUAGCCCAAACCGGGUCGGCGUGCCGAUCCGGGGUUAUAGGACUGCAUUUAGAAAGCAUUAUCAAACUGAAUCAUCUGGAAAGAUGAGCCAUAGCAGGUGAUAGCCCUGUAAGUACAAAUUAAUGCGGACGAGCAGUAUCCUGAGUAAUGCGGGACCGGAGGAAUCUUGCAUGAAGUUGCCAGCACCAUCUGGUAAGGCUAAAUACUCCUCAGACACCGAUAGUGAACCAGUACCGUAAGGGAAAGGUGAAAAGCACCCCGAACAGGGGAGUGAAAUAGUACCUGAAACCGUGCGCCUACAAGCGGUCGGAGCUCUGCAAUAUGAGUGACGGCGUGCCUUUUGCAUAAUGAGCCUACGAGUUACUCCUAACUGGCGAGGUUAAGUUCAUAUUUAACGGAGCCGAAGCGAAAGCGAGUCCAAAUAGGGCGAUUAGUCAGUUGGGGUAGACGCGAAACUUUGUGAUCUAUCCAUGGGCAGGUUGAAGGUUAGGUAAAACUAACUGGAGGACCGAACCCGUUGACGUUGAAAAGUCUUGGGAUGACCUGUGGAUAGGGGUGAAAGGCCAAUCAAACUGAGAGAUAGCUCGUUCUCCCCGAAAUGUUUUUAGGAACAGCGUUGCAUAUAGAAGUUUAUUAGAGGUAGAGCUACUGAUUGGGCUAGGGGGCUUCACCGCCUACCAAACCCUGACAAACUCCGAAUGCUAAUAAAUAUCUGCAGCAGUGAGGCUUUGGGCGCUAAGGUCCAGGGCCGAGAGGGAAAUAACCCAGAUUAGCAACUAAGGUCCCUAAUACGUAGUUAAGUUGAUCAAACGAGGUGGGAUUUCUAUAACAGCCAGGAUGUUGGCUUGGAAGCAGCCAUUCAUUUAAAGAGUGCGUAACAGCUCACUGGUCGAGAGAUCCUGCACGGAAAAUAAUCGGGCAUCAAACUACGAACCGAAGUUCUAAACCCGCCCUAGGCGGGUGGUAGGGGAGCAUUGAAAUCUGCACAGAAGGUGUACGGCGACGUAUGCUGGAGCGAUUUCAAAAGAAAAUGUAGGCAUAAGUAACGAUAAUUAAAGUGAAAAACUUUAACGCGAAAAGUCUAAGGUUUCCUGAUCAACGUUAAUCGGAUCAGGGUUAGUCUGGUCCUUAGGAAAACCCGAAAGGGGCAUCUGAUGGAAAGCUGGUUAAUAUUCCAGCACCUGCUAUGCAUUAAAAGUGACGCAGGGACGUGGUGGUUGCGUACGGACGGAAGUGUACGCCUGAGUGGAGUCUUCGGACAAAGCGAAACCAUAAAAUCCCUGCCAAGAAAAGCGAGUAUAGCAGCCAGUACCGGAAUCCGACACAGGUAGACGGGAUGAGUAUUCUAACGCGCUCGGGUGAGCCGUGGAGAAGGAACUAGGCAAAUUGACGCUGUAACUUCGGGAUAAAGCGUACCAGCCGCAAGGCUGGUCACAGUAAAAUGGUUCAACCAACUGUUUAACAAAAACACAGGGCCCUGCAAAAACGUAAGUUGACGUAUAGAGCCUGAAACCUGCCCGGUGCUGGAAGGUUAAGGAAGGGUGUUCGGCGCAAGCCAAAGCUCCUGACUGAAGCCCCAGUAAACGGCGGCCGUAACUAUAACGGUCCUAAGGUAGCGAAAUUCCUUGUCGGGUAAGUUCCGACCUGCACGAAUGGUCUAAUGAGUUGAACACUGUCUCCUCCACGAGCCCGGUGAAAUUGUAGUAUCGGUGAAGAUGCCGGUUACCCGCCACGGGACGGAAAGACCCCGUGAACCUUCACUACAACUUUGCAUUGAUUUUGAGCACCAAAUGUGUAGGAUAGUUGGGAGACUAUGAAGCAGUGUCGCCAGGCAUUGUGGAGUCAUCGUUGAAAUACCAACCUUUUGUUGCUUAGAACCUAACCCCUAACGGGGGACAUUGCAUGGUGGGUAGUUUGACUGGGGUGGUCGCCUCCUAAAAAGUAACGGAGGCUCGCAAAGGUACCCUCAGUACGGUUGGUAAUCGUACGUAGAGCGCAUUAGUAAAAGGGUGCUUGACUGUGAGGCAAACACGCCGAGCAGGAGCGAAAGCUGGCUAAAGUGAUCCGGUGGUUCUGCAUGGAAGGGCCAUCGCUCAAAGGAUAAAAGGUACUCCGGGGAUAACAGGCUGAUCUUACCCAAGAGCUCAUAUCGACGGUAAGGUUUGGCACCUCGAUGUCGGUUCGUCACAUCCUGGGGCUGGAGAAGGUCCCAAGGGUUCGGCUGUUCGCCGAUUAAAGUGGCACGUGAACUGGGUUCAGAACGUCGCAAGACAGUUCGGUCCCUAUCUGUGGUGGGCGCUAGUAAAUUGAGUGGACAUGACCUUAGUACGAGAGGACCGGGUCGUACGUACCGCUGGUGUAUCUGUUGUGCCGCCAGGUGCAAUGCAGAGUAGCUAUGUACGGACAGGAUAAACGCUGAAAGCAUCUAAGCGUGAAACCUUCCACAAGAUGAGUUUACUUUUAAGGGUCGUCAAAGACUAUGACGUUGAUAGGCUAUAGGUGUAAAGCUGGUAACAGCAAAGCCAAGUAGUACUAAUUGCCCGUAAGCUUUAUUUUU